GCUGAGUGUGGUGGCGCACACCUGUAAUCCCAGCUACAUGGGAGGCUGAGGCAGGAGAAUCACUUGAACCCAGGAGGUGGAAGUUGCAGUGAGCCAAGAUCACGUCAUUGCACUGCAGCCUGGGUGACAGAGUGAGACUCUGUCUUAA
Molecule: unclassified non-coding RNA, 148 nt
Organism: Pongo abelii (Sumatran orangutan)
Lineage: Eukaryota; Metazoa; Chordata; Mammalia; Primates; Hominidae
Rfam family: Metazoan signal recognition particle RNA
About the family: The signal recognition particle (SRP) is a universally conserved ribonucleoprotein. It is involved in the co-translational targeting of proteins to membranes.
Source: Ensembl